AUUUCAUUCGCGUUCUCCGUCGGUGCACCACGUUGCACUCAAGGGGUGUGGGCGGGGUGAGGGACGGGUGCAUUGUCUUAUCCGAACUCCGCGGCGUUCAUCGUCACCGUCGUACAGGAACACCGACAUACGCGUGCACUCAAACUAACACUUUAGCAGCACACAGCGGGAAAAGCAAAACGAAGACGAAGCUGACAUGUCGUCCAGUGACAGCCUUGCCCAAGCGCGUGCACCGGCGGGCGCGACGGCGGCGGAUGAGGCAGCAGCCAUCACUGCCAGCUACGCAAGAGGGCAUUUCACCACUUACUACGUUGACUGCGCAAAGCUGCCAAGCGGUGGGACGGCUAGCAUGAGUGCAGCACCGGGCAGCCCUGCCGCUAACAGAGCAGACCUGCGCGGUGCCCAAACAGGUUCUAUACUAACUCUUGGGGACUUCAGCGUGCUUCCGCAUCCCGGGUACGCCGGCCGCAGAGGCAAGACCCUCAACAAGCCGCUGUUCCUCCAUCAACUCAAGUCUUGAGCGGCAAAGCGAGCUCUUUGCUGACGGGACAGUGAUGGCGGACUAACCGAGGGAGUGAGAGAAAGAGAUGCCUUCGCAAUCACAGUGCCGCGUGCGAGCGAGCGGGCAUGGUGGUGGUGGUGGUGGUGGUGUGGGGGGGGGGGCUUCUUUUCAUUGCUGCGCGUGCGUGCCUGGUUACUUUUUGGCCCUUCUCUUCCUCUUUUUGUGUGUGUAUGUGUGUACGCGCCUCUCUCUUGCCCCUCCUCCCUCCUCGACCUCGCGCAACGGAAUGCAGACCUCAGUCUCGCCUCACAGAAAUGGGCAAAACCAAUAGACGGCACGGGGGCUGUCUUUGCGCUGCAGCAACAGGCAUCGUGUGCGCUUGCCCCACACCCCCUCUGCCUCCGCAGCGUGACUGAGGUUAAUCUUAUCUGCGGCCUCUGCGGCACGGCCACAGGCGCAUUCCCGCACGAGCCCCUCCCGCCCACGACCCGCCAUCACCUCCCCUCUUCGCUCUGCUCCACCGAUCAUGCAUGCGUCACCGCUUCCCGUUCGCUAUCUCCCUCUUUCUUUCACCACCACGACACUUAUGCAUCGCCACAUGUUAG
This 1107-nucleotide unclassified non-coding RNA is filed under the name Leishmania donovani. RNAcentral describes it as "gene:LdHU3.28.2300(CDS-product:hypothetical_prote in)". The record is from RNAcentral. Lineage: Eukaryota; Euglenozoa; Kinetoplastea; Trypanosomatida; Trypanosomatidae.